GCCAGACUCCUACGGGAGGCAGCGGUGGGGGAUAUUGCACAAUGGGGGGAACCCUGAUGCAGCGACGCCGCGUGGGUGAAGGAGCGUUUCGGCGCGUAAAGCCCUCUCGGCAGGGAAGAAGGAGGACGGUACCUGACUAAGAAGCCCCGGCUAACUACGUGCCAGCAGCCGCGGUAAUACGUAGGGGGCAAGCGUUAUCCGGAUUUACUGGGUGUAAAGGGGGCGCAGACGGCAGCGCAAGCCAGGAGUGAAAGCCCGGGGCCCAACCCCGGGACUGCUCUUGGAACUGCGCGGCUGGAGUGCAGGAGGGGCAGGCGGAAUUCCUGGUGUAGCGGUGAAAUGCGUAGAUAUCAGGAGGAACACCGGUGGCGAAGGCGGCCUGCUGGACUGCGACUGACGUUGAGGCCCGAAAGCGUGGGGAGCAAACAGGAUUAGAUACCCUUGUAC
This 447-nucleotide ribosomal RNA is filed under the name uncultured bacterium. Its description in RNAcentral is "partial 16S ribosomal RNA". It matches the Rfam family "Bacterial small subunit ribosomal RNA", at positions 330 to 793 of the family's 1533-position model. The record is from RNAcentral.